AUGUUUUUACAGACAGUUGCUUCAGAUUUCGACAAACACGAUCACAUACGGGGAAUGUUGUGCGACCAAUAAGCAGGCAGCGGCCGGGUUUAUUUUGGCAGGCUGACUGCGCAUGGCUACAGUCAAUAUGGAAACAACGCCACGGUGGGUAGGAUUUAGCAAACAACGAGUGGUGGCCACGUCAGGUUAGCGCCGCCGCCAAGGCAGCAGAAUGCGGAUUGAGAAACACAAACAGCACAUGCCACGACGGUACGGCUGGCAUGCACACAGUAAACAAACGGGACAGGAGCCAAUGGGAGCUCGAGAUCAUGGCUGUGACAUUCGGAAAGGGCUGAAAACCGAGCACCGUGGUCCCGCCCACCAUUGAGUCUGUUCAGAGGAGGAGGAGGAGGAGGAGGUCGCAGACAUGGAAGCAGUCGGAACUUCGGGUGGGAAAGUGCCCCCUCUCUUCAUCCCCUUGAAAUGUCAAAGUAUCUUUUUAAGAGUUCCCUCUGAAUAUGUGUUUUUGCUUUUAAAAUGUACUAAAAAGACACACAGUCUGAAUUUGA
Mugil cephalus (flathead mullet) is the source of this 548-nucleotide long non-coding RNA. RefSeq lists it as uncharacterized. The transcript has 2 exons. Lineage: Eukaryota; Metazoa; Chordata; Actinopteri; Mugiliformes; Mugilidae. The record is from RefSeq and is a predicted model, not a curated record.